Molecule: small nucleolar RNA, 80 nt
Filed under: Dichanthelium oligosanthes
Lineage: Eukaryota; Viridiplantae; Streptophyta; Magnoliopsida; Poales; Poaceae
Description: Small nucleolar RNA R12
Rfam family: Small nucleolar RNA R12
About the family: snoR12 is a C/D box small nucleolar RNA, which acts as a methylation guide for 25S ribosomal RNA in plants. snoR12 has been alternatively named snoZ44 in Arabidopsis and snoZ131 in rice.
Source: Rfam by way of RNAcentral
AUUGGGAUGAUGAAGAAAAUCAGACGGAUUCCCAUUGAUUUUUGCAUAAUGAUGUUAGUAACCAGCUACUUCCGACCAAU